RNAcentral lists this ribosomal RNA (660 nucleotides) under uncultured fungus. RNAcentral describes it as "eukaryotic LSU rRNA". It matches the Rfam family "Eukaryotic large subunit ribosomal RNA", at positions 24 to 664 of the family's 3401-position model. Lineage: Eukaryota; Fungi. The record is from RNAcentral.
CCCGCUGAACUUAAGCAUAUCAAUAAGCGGAGGAAAAGAAACUAACAAGGAUUCCCCUAGUAACUGCGAGUGAAGCGGGAAAAGCUCAAAUUUAAAAUCUGGCGGUCUUGCGGCCGGCCGAGUUGUAAUCUGGAGAAGCGUUUAUCCGCGUCGGACCGUGUACAAGUCUUCUGGAAGGGAGCGUCGUAGAGGGUGAGAAUCCCGUCUUUGACACGGACUACCAGGGCUUAUGUGAUACGCUCUCAAAGAGUCGAGUUGUUUGGGAAUGCAGCUCUAAAUGGGUGGUAAAUUCCAUCUAAAGCUAAAUAUUGGCGAGAGACCGAUAGCGAACAAGUACCGUGAGGGAAAGAUGAAAAGAACUUUGGAAAGAGAGUUAAAAAGUACGUGAAAUUGUUGAAAGGGAAACGCUUGAAGUCAGUCGCAUUGGCCAGGGAUCAACCUUGCUUUUGCUUGGUGUAUUUUCUGGUUAAUGGGUCAGCAUCAAUUUUGAUCGGUGGAAAAAGAUCAAGGGAAUGUGGCAUCUUCGGAUGUGUCAUAGCCCUUGCUUGUAUACAUCGAUUGGGAUUGAGGAGCUCAUCACGCCGCAAGGCCGGGUUUGUAACCACGUACGUGCUUAGGAUGCUGGCAUAAUGGCUUUAAUCGACCCGUCUUGAAACACGG